GACAGAGGGUGCAAACGUUGCUCGGAAUCACUGGGCGUAAAGGGCGUGUAGGCGGCAUUGCAAGUCGGGUGUGAAAGCCCUCAGCUCAACUGAGGAAGUGCGCCCGAAACUGCAGUGCUUGAGUACCGGAGAGGAUGGCGGAAUUCCCCAAGUAGAGGUGAAAUUCGUAGAUAUGGGGAGGAACACCGGUGGCGAAGGCGGCCAUCUGGACGGAUACUGACGCUGAGACGCGAAAGCGUGGGUAGCAAACAGG
Molecule: ribosomal RNA, 253 nt
Filed under: uncultured bacterium
Lineage: Bacteria
Description: partial 16S ribosomal RNA
Rfam family: Bacterial small subunit ribosomal RNA
Source: RNAcentral